AUGCUUUGGCAGCACAUAUAUUAAAAUGAAGAAGAUUGGCCUCAUGGCCCCUGUGCAAGGAUGACAUGCAAAUUCAUGAAGCAUUCUAUAUUUUU
This is a small nuclear RNA of Tupaia belangeri (northern tree shrew), 95 nucleotides long. Lineage: Eukaryota; Metazoa; Chordata; Mammalia; Scandentia; Tupaiidae. The record is from Ensembl.